AUCUUUGCGCUUGGGGCAAUGACGCAGCUAAUGAGGUACUAACCGAGGCGCGUCUAUUGCUGGUUGAAAACUAUUUCCAAACCCCCUCUUAGGCCUUAGCUUGUCUUUGGCCUUCGAGAAUUUUUGGAAGGGCUCCCUUCGGGGUAAAGCC
Molecule: non-coding RNA, 151 nt
Organism: Brassica napus (rape)
Lineage: Eukaryota; Viridiplantae; Streptophyta; Magnoliopsida; Brassicales; Brassicaceae
Source: Rfam